RNAcentral lists this ribosomal RNA (399 nucleotides) under uncultured bacterium. RNAcentral describes it as "bacterial SSU rRNA". It matches the Rfam family "Bacterial small subunit ribosomal RNA", at positions 358 to 773 of the family's 1533-position model. The record is from RNAcentral.
GGAAUAUUGCACAAUGGGGGAAACCCUGAUGCAGCAACGCCGCGUGGAGGAUGAAGGCUCUUGGGUUGUAAACUCCUUUUCUGCGGGAAGAGCAAGGACGGUACCGCAGGAAUAAGUCACGGCUAACUACGUGCCAGCAGCCGCGGUAAUACGUAGGUGACAAACGUUCUCCGGAAUUACGGGGCGUAAAGCGCACGCGGGCGGUCAAUCAAGUUUGGCGUGAAAGCUCCCGGCUUAACUGGGAGAAGUCGUUGAAUACUGGUUGGCUUGAGGCAGUGAGAGGGGUGCGGAAUUCCAUGUGUAGUGGUGGAAUGCGUAGAUAUCUGGAGGAACACCAGUGGCGAAAGCGGCACCCUGGCAUUGACCUGACGCUCAUGUGCGAAAGCGUGGGGAGCGAAC